RNAcentral lists this small RNA (912 nucleotides) under Pongo abelii (Sumatran orangutan). RNAcentral's name for it is "unitary pseudogene". Lineage: Eukaryota; Metazoa; Chordata; Mammalia; Primates; Hominidae. The record is from RNAcentral.
GUGAAGGGCAGCAGCAGGCAGAAGCUGGAUCAGAGAAACUUCACGGAGCAGGUGCAUGAGUGCAAAGACAAUGGCUACCUGCUCUCCUCCAAGAAGAUCGGUUCUGGGGCCUUCUCCAAGGUGUACUUGGCCGAUGCCACCCACGAGCGCAUGCACCACAACCCUAAGCUGUCCUCCGACCUGCAGGGCAAGCGCCACACCAUGAUAGCUAUCAAGAUGGUCUCCACAACCGAGGACCCAGUGGAGUUCUCCCGCAAGCUCCUGCCCCGUGAGAUCUCCGUCACUCAACGCUACCUACAAGUACCUGAACAUGUGCAGCUGUAUGAGACCUGUCAGAGCAGCCAGCUCGUGCUGGAGCUGGUGGCCUGGGGCAACCUGCUGGAGCACAUCAACGCUGCAUUGGAUCACCUCUGCCACCCAGGGCUGGAGAAGAAGGAAGCCCUCGGGCUAUUCUGGCAGCUGGUUAGUGCCAUGGCACACUGCCACAGCGUGGGCAUCGUGCACCAGCACCUGAAGUGCGAGAACAUCCUGCUGGACGACCAUGGCCUUCUCAAGCUGACCGAUUUUGGCUUCGCUGGCUGCAUGGGGCCCAGGAACUCACUGCUUAGCACUUUCUGCGGCUCCCCAGCCUACACAACCCCAGAGAUCCUCAUGAGCAGCAAGUAUAGCGGGGAGUGGGCCGACCUGUGGAAGGUGUCAUCCUCUAUGCCAUGGUGAGUGGGAAGCUGCCCUUCAAGGAGCGCCAGCCUCACUGCAUGCUGCACCUCAUGCACCGCGGUCCCACUCUCUGGCCAGGUCUGUUCCCAGUGCCAGGACCUGAUUCAGGGGCUGCUGCAGCUGCGCCCAAACGCAUGCCUGGGCCUGCAGCAGGUGGCUGCACACUGCUGGAUGCUGCCUGCAGCGAACAUGCUC